This 730-nucleotide ribosomal RNA is filed under the name Nasutitermes pinocchio. Its description in RNAcentral is "partial 16S rRNA". Lineage: Eukaryota; Metazoa; Arthropoda; Insecta; Blattodea; Termitidae. The record is from RNAcentral.
GGUAAUUUAAUCUUAUAAUCAAAAUAAAUGGAUCAAAUUAAUAUAAAUAAAUAUAUAAAAACAAAGAGGAGUUAAAUAUUAUUCCUCCCAUCACCCCAACAAAACAAUAUUUCCUACUCAACACAACAAAAACAAACAACGAACAAAUAAAAAAAUUGUCAAACUCUAUAGGGUCUUCUCGUCCCAUAAAAACAUUUAAGAAUUUUAACUCAAAAACCAAAUUCAAUAAACCAAUACCUCUAAGACAGUCAAUGUCUCGUCAAGCCAUUCAUACCAGAUCACAAUUAAAGAACUAAUGAUUAUGCUACCUUUGCACGGUCAAAAUACCGCGGCCCUUCAACUAACAGUCAGUGGGCAGGCAUACUUCAAAAACUAACAAGAAAAGAUGUUUUUGUUAAACAGGCGGACAUAAAAUUUGCCGAAUUCCUCAAAAGCAAUUAACACUAUCAAUCAACAAAACAACCAACAAAAUUUACUAAUUACACCAUAAUUACCAUACAAACCAAAAGUAAAGAAAACAUUUUCAAUAAAUAACUUAAAUACCCAAUAAUUAAAAAGAACAAAUAAAAUUUUAACAUAAUCAAAUAGAAAAUCACUAUAAAAUCCACAAAACUAAAUUAAACCAUAACUAAUUAUAAAAAUAAAACAAGGAGCUAAUCCCCCUCAAUCUUAACAUCAAAUAAAAUUUAAUAAACCAACAAUAAAAAUUAAAUGAGACACAUGAAUUAAA